UACGAGGGGGGCAAGCGUUGUCCGGAAUCAUUGGGCGUAAAGGGCGCGUAGGUGGCGGGACAAGCGUGCGGUGAAAGCCUGGGGCUCAACCCCGGGUCGGCCGUGCGAACUGUUUUGCUUGAGCACUGUAGAGGCAGGCGGAAUUCCGGGUGUAGCGGUGGAAUGCGUAGAGAUCCGGAAGAACACCGGUGGCGAAGGCGGCCUGCUGGGCAGUAGCUGACACUGAGGCGCGACAGCGUGGGGAGCAAACAGG
This 253-nucleotide ribosomal RNA is filed under the name uncultured bacterium. RNAcentral's name for it is "partial 16S ribosomal RNA". It matches the Rfam family "Bacterial small subunit ribosomal RNA", at positions 524 to 776 of the family's 1533-position model. The record is from RNAcentral.